Passer domesticus (house sparrow) is the source of this 963-nucleotide long non-coding RNA. RefSeq lists it as uncharacterized. NCBI's taxonomy places the organism in Eukaryota, Metazoa, Chordata, Aves, Passeriformes, Passeridae. The transcript has 3 exons. The record is from RefSeq and is a predicted model, not a curated record.
AGGUGGUGGUUUGGAGAAGGGAGGGUCCUGUCCAAUCCCAAAAGCUCAUCUGAUUUCGUGAUCCUUGUCCAUGACUUUCACCAGUGUUACCUUCUGAAGAUGGCACCUCCCCGAUGGGGAACCGUCCCAUCUGAUCCAUCUGUCCCUUUUCUUUCUCAAGUGAUGACCCUAAACUUGGCACAGAAGGUGGCUGUUCCAGGAAGAAGCAGUGGCUCAGUGGCAGCCUCUUCUGCAGGAGAACAGGCGGCUCCAGGCACUGGCACAGCAGAAGUGCUUGGCAAGUCAGACACAAACGCCUGGAAUCCACGGAACAAUGCAAGAAUUGUCUGCCCUCAGGACGUGCGCAGGUCCUGCAUGAUAGGCACGGUGGUGACACUGUUCACUGUGCCACUUUCCAUGGUGCUGUGCAAUGUUGGGUUUCGGUGGUGGAAGGAAGAGAAACAGAGCGCCUCUGGACUGCAGCUGAAGGACAGUGGCUGGAUCUCACUCCCAGAUAACUUGAGUAGCUCCUCCAGCAGUGAUAAGAACCUGGGCAGCCCCAUCAAAAGCCCUCAGAGGACAAUCCCAGAGCAGCUGGCCUCGAGGAGGAAAUCAAUCAAUCAAUCCCUGUGGAAAUUGCAGUGGAAAUCCCAGUGCCACCUCCACUCCCUACAGGAAUCCCUGAGCUGCCUCUGCUACCCAUGGGGAUCUUCAAGAUGCCUCCACACUCUCCCAGUCCAUCCCCACCUGUGGAGCAACCCAGAACCAGUUUAGCACCUUCCAUACCCACCUAGGACCAGCACAUCCCACUCCUGCAUGCCCCAAAUGCUCAGACCAGGCCUCCAAAAGACAAUGAAAGAGCCUCAAUCCCACACCACCUAUUCCAGGGCAGGGCUUGGUCCAGAUCUUCUGAUGCAAUAACGUGAUGGAGCUGUCAGCCCAGUGUCCAGGUGGUAGCACCAGCAAAGCCCACCCAGCACCAGC